UUGAAAGGGAAACGAUUGAAGUCAGUCAUACCAACGGGAAAUCAACCUCUUGAGCUCGGUCUCGUGGGUUUUGAAGAGUUUCAAAGCCUUCGGAUUCGCGAGAUUGGGAUCUCUUGGUGUACUUUUUCGUACGGUUAGUCAACAUCGGUUUUGUAUGUCAUAAAAUGACCGGAGGAAUGUAGCUUCGAUCUCGUAUUGAAGUGUUAUAGCCUUUGGUAGAUGUGAUGUUUGAGACCGAGGAUUGCAACGGAUACCCUUCAGGGCUAUUCGUCUGAUCUCUGAUACGUUGCCUUGAUGUGGAAAGCUCGCUUAUGGUGUUCAAAUUACGGUCAAAAGGUUAGAACGAAUUACAUUCGUUAAGGAUGUUGACGUA
This 373-nucleotide ribosomal RNA is filed under the name uncultured Glomeromycotina. RNAcentral's name for it is "LSU rRNA". The record is from RNAcentral. Lineage: Eukaryota; Fungi; Glomeromycota.